This 90-nucleotide small nucleolar RNA is filed under the name Ochotona princeps (American pika). RNAcentral describes it as "Small nucleolar RNA SNORA74 (ENSOPRG00000024244.1)". The record is from RNAcentral. Lineage: Eukaryota; Metazoa; Chordata; Mammalia; Lagomorpha; Ochotonidae.
CACAGCUGUAGGCAACUGCCUAGGUUGCCUUGUAACCUAGGGAAGUGUUAACACCGCUGGAAAAAAAGCAUCCAAUAACCGACAGACACU